UACGUAGGGUGCGAGCGUUAAUCGGAAUUACUGGGCGUAAAGCGUGCGCAGGCGGUUCGUGAUGUCUGGUGUGAAAGCCCCGGGCUUAACCUGGGAAUUGCAUCGGAAACUAGCGGGCUGGAGUGUGGCAGAGGGGGGUGGAAUUCCACGUGUAGCAGUGAAAUGCGUAGAGAUGUGGAGGAACACCGAUGGCGAAGGCAGCCCCCUGGGCUAACACUGACGCUCAUGCACGAAAGCGUGGGGAGCAAACAGG
RNAcentral lists this ribosomal RNA (253 nucleotides) under uncultured bacterium. RNAcentral describes it as "partial 16S ribosomal RNA". It matches the Rfam family "Bacterial small subunit ribosomal RNA", at positions 524 to 776 of the family's 1533-position model. The record is from RNAcentral.